UACGGGGGGGGCAAGCGUUGUUCGGAAUUACUGGGCGUAAAGGGCUCGUAGGCGGCCAACUAAGUCAGACGUGAAAUCCCUCGGCUUAACCGGGGAACUGCGUCUGAUACUGGAUGGCUUGAAUCCGGGAGAGGGAUGCGGAAUUCCAGGUGUAGCGGUGAAAUGCGUAGAUAUCUGGAGGAACACCGGUGGCGAAGGCGGGUCUCUGGGCCGUAACUGACGCUGAGGAGCGAAAGCAUGGGGAGCGAACAGG
RNAcentral lists this ribosomal RNA (253 nucleotides) under uncultured bacterium. Its description in RNAcentral is "partial 16S ribosomal RNA". It matches the Rfam family "Bacterial small subunit ribosomal RNA", at positions 524 to 776 of the family's 1533-position model. The record is from RNAcentral.